Molecule: long non-coding RNA, 147 nt
Organism: Ficedula albicollis (Collared flycatcher)
Lineage: Eukaryota; Metazoa; Chordata; Aves; Passeriformes; Muscicapidae
Exons: 3
Source: RefSeq, a predicted model, not a curated record
GCAGUGACACGUUUAGAAGAGGACAGACAGUGGAAGAAGAGCUCUUUUCUCAUGCCCUAGGACUCCGUAACAACAUUCUCUAAGAAGAAGAACAACAUUCUCUAAGGAGUAGAAGUCAAAAUACCACUGCCAAAAAUACAACUACAC